UUGGCUCCAAGAAUAUCUUUCUGCCCAUACUUUCUCCAGCUAUACCCAUCGUCAUGGGGUCCUUCCAGGCCAUUCUCAGAAAUCACUCUAACUUGAUCUGUCCAUCUGGGCAUCGUCUUUCUGCAAUUUGAGACGUCAUUGUGACCCCCAUCAAAAUCAUCACUUCCAGGACUGCCAUGCAUGGAUAAAGGAGACUCUGGGACAUUACCAGCCGUGGCUGCAACAUUUUGCUGCUGUUUCUGUUGCUGUUGCUGCUGCUGCCCCAGCGAUCCACUCCAGUUGAGAAUCAAGAGAGACUUCUCAUAUGAAGUUAAAAUCCUCUGUACUAAGGAGUCCCUAAUUUCAACAGAUGAUGCUGUGUUCAAAUGUACCCUCAACUGUUUUGCCAGCUCCAUCCCUUGGAUUAGCUCACUAAUCAGUGUCUUCUGCUCCCAGCUCCAACUAUUCUCCAUAUUUUUCUUUCUACACUUAAUCUAAUCAGACUUACAAUGAGCAAAACACUUGUCUAACCAGAAGGGUGAAGAAUUAGCAGCAAAUAACAUGGAAAUGGGAAAAAUUAUAAAGAAUAAUAUCAAUCUCUUCUUGAAUUGUGUUUGAAUAGAUAGUUAG
RNAcentral lists this unclassified non-coding RNA (609 nucleotides) under Hevea brasiliensis (rubber tree). Lineage: Eukaryota; Viridiplantae; Streptophyta; Magnoliopsida; Malpighiales; Euphorbiaceae. The record is from RNAcentral.